Molecule: non-coding RNA, 429 nt
Organism: Pelobates cultripes (western spadefoot toad)
Lineage: Eukaryota; Metazoa; Chordata; Amphibia; Anura; Pelobatidae
Source: the annotation of a GenBank genome assembly
GAAGAGGAAGCCGAAGCUGAGACCACACCAUCUGAUACAGAAUUCGAUCCAUAUGAUGACUGCCUUACAAAUGUAUCACAAGAUGUCAUUGAUGUACUUAUGAUAUCAGAUGACGAACAGGAGGAUUUUGAAGGCUUUUAAAGGGAAACUGUCACGCCAGCAAAACCUGUAAAAAUACAGUGGCUUGCAGUUAUGAUGGGCGUUGCUAACUCGCCAGGGACUUGCUCUCUCUCUAUUGUUUGCUAUCUUCCCCCUAUCAUCAUCAGUUCCAGGUUGGUUCACAGCUUAGAAAACAAACAGCAUGGCAGCUCCCAUGGGUUUAUUGUCUUAUCCUUCCUUUCAGCUUUAGAGUGAAUUAGGAAAAGUUUAAUCCACUUGCACUGUUUUAUGUUUACAUGUUUGAUGACAAACAGCCUUAUGUUUAUAAGU